RNAcentral lists this ribosomal RNA (253 nucleotides) under uncultured bacterium. RNAcentral describes it as "partial 16S ribosomal RNA". It matches the Rfam family "Bacterial small subunit ribosomal RNA", at positions 524 to 776 of the family's 1533-position model. The record is from RNAcentral.
UACGGAGGGUGCAAGCGUUGUCCGGAAUCACUGGGCGUAAAGGGCGCGUAGGCGGCUCACGAAGGCUGUGGUGAAAGUCCGGGGCUCAACCUCGGAUCGGCCGUGGCGACUCGUGGGCUGGAGCACUGUAGAGGCGGGUGGAAUUCCGGGUGUAGCGGUGGAAUGCGUAGAGAUCCGGAAGAACACCAGUGGCGAAGGCGGCCCGCUGGGCAGUGGCUGACGCUGAGGCGCGACAGCGUGGGGAGCAAACAGG